Molecule: non-coding RNA, 104 nt
Filed under: bovine gut metagenome
Description: TPP riboswitch (THI element)
Rfam family: TPP riboswitch aptamer (THI element)
About the family: Vitamin B(1) in its active form thiamin pyrophosphate (TPP) is an essential coenzyme that is synthesised by coupling of pyrimidine and thiazole moieties in bacteria. The previously detected thiamin-regulatory element, thi box was extended, resulting in a new, highly conserved RNA secondary structure, the THI element, which is widely distributed in eubacteria and also occurs in some archaea.
Source: RNAcentral
UUCAAAGGGGAGCUGGAUGGAAUCCGGCUGAGAGGCGGCGUGCUUUCGCUGCGACCCGAGGAACCUGAUCCGGGUAAUGCCGGCGUAGGGAGAGCGAUGAAAUU